CAGACGGCAGCUGGCGGUAAUCCAGUUUUGCACUCUGUGGCUCAUGUUACUGCAGUUUCACAAGCGUGUCAGAGAACUACGGUGGCCUUCAGGUAACAUAAAAACAUGAAAGUGUCUCUCUAGAGCCAGAGUUUGGUCUGUCCGUUCUGGGAUACUGUAGAAACAAUGCGGCGAAACAUGGCGGACUCCAUGAAGAGGACCCGCUCCCUAUUGUAGAUAUAAACGGCUCAUUCUAAGCUAA
This is a long non-coding RNA of Sebastes umbrosus (honeycomb rockfish), 241 nucleotides long. RefSeq lists it as uncharacterized. The transcript is spliced from 2 exons. The record is from RefSeq and is a predicted model, not a curated record. NCBI's taxonomy places the organism in Eukaryota, Metazoa, Chordata, Actinopteri, Perciformes, Sebastidae.